AUCAGCGGUGAAGCCGGACUGGAAAGUACGGUGGAGCGGUAGGAAGUGAGAAUGCUGGAAUGAGUAACCAUAAGAUAGGUGAGAAUCCUGUCGGCCGUAAGAGCAAGGUUUCCUGAGCCAUGGUAAUCAUCUCAGGGUUAGUCGGGCCUAAGCCGAGGCGCAUAGCGUAGGCGAUGGACAUCAGGUUAAUAUUCCUGAACCGGUUAAGUUUUGUACACUGUUCACGGGGAAGUAGUGAGAGCGGAUUCAUGGUAUGUAUCCGUCCAACCUAGCGGGAACGCGAAGGGAGUGAAAGUUAGUCUUCGGACUGACGAUUCUUGCAAAAGCCCUGGCUAGAAAAGCAGAUGUACUUACGGACUUAGCCGCCCGUACCGCAAACCAACACAGGUGCUCGAGUCGAGUAGACUCAGGCUUACGAGAGAACCUUCGCUAAGGAACUCGGCAAUACAGCGACCGUAACUUCGGGAUAAGGUCUGCCCCCACAUCAUUUGAUGUGAGCCGCGUUCACCUCAGCAAGGUGGUUAAAAAACGCAGUGAUAGGAAGAUAAAAGCGUCUAUCAUUGUAAGUGAGUACGCUUGGGUUCAUGAAAAUGAAUUCGAGUGAUCAAAUCCUUUUUAAAACCAUUUAGAAUUUUUCUGAGAUAGACUAAUCAUGAUUGAUUACGCUUUUUGAACGCGAAUCUCUUGCAUCGUAUGAUGUGGGGGCCGCAGCAAAAGAGCCCACGGAACUGUUUACCAAAAACACAGGUCUCUGCUAAUUCGAAAGAAGAUGUAUAGGGGCUGACUCCUGCCCGGUGCCGGAAGGUUAAGGGGAGCGCUUUACGGUGCGAACUGAAGCCCCGGUGAACGGCGGCGGUAACUAUAACCGUCCUAAGGUAGCGAAAUUCCUUGUCAGGUAAGUUCUGACCCGCACGAAUGGAGUAAUCAUGUGGGCACUGUCUCAGCGAAGGACUCGGUGAAAGUGCAUUGGCGGUAAAGAUGCCGUCUGUCCGUACCAGGACGAGAAGACCCCAUGGAGCUUUACUACAGCUUUACAUUGUUCCGGGUUACAACAUGUGUAGCAUAGGUGGGAGCCUUUGAAGCAGAUACGCUAGUAUUUGUGGAGGCACCGGUGAAAUACCACCCUUGUUGUGAUCUUGAUCUAACCGAUACCGUUAUCCGGUAUCGGGACCGUGUAUGGUGGGUAGUUUAACUGGGGCGGUUGCCUCCUAAAGAGUAGCGGAGGCGUUCAAAGGUUGGCUAACUUCGGAUGGAAAUCGAAGUGAUAGUGUAUGCGCAUAAGCCAGCUUGACUGUGAGGAGUACAUUCCAAGCAGAGACGAAAGUCGGAGCAAGUGAUCCGCUGUACGUACAUUUGUACAUGAAUGUGGGAUCGACAGCGCAAACGGAUAAAAGUUACCCUGGGGAUAACAGGCUUAUCGCGCCCAAUAGUUCACAUAGACGGCGCGGUUUGGCACCUCGAUGUCGGCUCAUCACAUCCUGGAGGGGGAGCACCUUCCAAGGGUUCGGCUGUUCGCCGAUUAAAGUGGUACGCGAGCUGGGUUCAGAACGUCGUGAGACAGUUCGGUUUAUAUCCGGUACGGACGUUAGGAAAUUUGAGAGGAUCUGCCCCUAGUACGAGAGGACCGGGGUGGACGAACCUCUGGUGUAUCGAUUGUGGCCACCUGCUGCAUUGUCGAGUAGCUAUGUUCGGAUUAGAUAAGCGCUGAAAGCAUAUUAAGCGCGAAACUAACCUCAAGAUUAGAUUUCCCUAUGAGGACACAGAGAGACGAUCUGUUUGAUAGGUGCAAGGUGGAAGUGUGGUAACAUAUGGAGCCGAAGCAUACUAAUAGUCCCAUUGCCUUUU
Molecule: ribosomal RNA, 1845 nt
Filed under: candidate division TM7 bacterium JGI 0001002-L20
Lineage: Bacteria; Candidatus Saccharimonadota
Description: bacterial LSU rRNA
Rfam family: Bacterial large subunit ribosomal RNA
Source: RNAcentral